UACAUGUGGGGCAAGCGUUGUUCGGAAUUACUGGGCAUAAAGGGUGCGUAGGUGGUCCGUUAAGUUCGUUGUGAAAUCCCUGGGCUCAACCCAGGAACUGCUUCGAAUACUGGCGGACUUGAGGCUAGUAGGGGUCACUGGAACUGACGGUGGAGCGGUGAAAUGCGUAGAUAUCGUCAGGAACGCCAAUGGUGAAGACAGGUGACUGGGCUAGAUCUGACACUGAGGCACGAAAGCGUGGGGAGCGAACGGG
RNAcentral lists this ribosomal RNA (253 nucleotides) under uncultured bacterium. Its description in RNAcentral is "partial 16S ribosomal RNA". It matches the Rfam family "Bacterial small subunit ribosomal RNA", at positions 524 to 776 of the family's 1533-position model. The record is from RNAcentral.